GUCUACGGUCAUGCCACCCUGAACGUGCCCAAUCUCAUCUGAUCUCAGAAGCUAAGCAGGGUCGGGCCUGGUUAGUACUUGGAUGGGAGACCAACUAGGAAUACCAGGUGCUGUAGGCG
Molecule: ribosomal RNA, 119 nt
Filed under: Pteropus alecto (black flying fox)
Lineage: Eukaryota; Metazoa; Chordata; Mammalia; Chiroptera; Pteropodidae
Source: RNAcentral